AUGGGCUUCCCCGGCGGCGAACCCCCUACGCUACCGUUGCCGACGCUCGUUAAGCUCGGUCGCGCGAUCACCGAGCAGCAUGUGGACCGAAUGCUCGCGGCGCUCCUCCGCCGCCGCAGGCACCGUCUCGUCGGCGCCCUCGCCUCCCAGGCGCUCGCCAACUCCCUGCGCCCCACCGCCCGCACCCACCUCCUUGCCGCCUCCGCGCUGCUCGACUCCGCGCUCCCCCAUGACGCCGCUCGGCGUCUCGCUCUCGCCGGGUCGGCGUCGUCAUCCCGUCGCCUCUGGGACGCGCUGCUCCGCCGGGCCUGCGCCCAGCGUGGCGACCCUCGCCUUGCGCUGGAGCUGCUCUCCGCUGGUGUAGAGGAUCACGGAGCUGUCCUUUCCCCGUCCACCUAUCGUGCGAUUAUAUCUGAGUUGUGUGCCCGUGGGGACAUGGCCGGGGCGCUCAAGGUGUUCGAUAUAAUGACAGCGAGGGGGUGUCAGGUCGACGACCGUGUUUGUAGUGCGAUCAUUUCUGGCUUCUCCAAGGCCAGCAAGGCCGAGGCUGGCUUGGAGUUCUACAAUAGAGUGAGGAAGGAGGUCAGAGGGUUUGAGCCAGGCCUGGUGACACUGACUGCGGUUGUGAGUUUGCUCGGGAGGCAGGGGAGAAUUGGUGACGUGGCUGAGCUGAUAAGGGAGAUGGAACGGAAGGAUAUGGUGGGUGAUGCGAUGUUCUAUAGUAGCUUGGUUCAUGGAUACAUGAGCAGUGGCCUGUUGAUGGAAGGGUUGCGGGAGCAUCGGCUGAUGUUAGACAAGGGUGUUGCAGCUGAUGUGGUUAAUUACACUAUUGUUAUUGAUGGGAUGUGUAGAGAAGGUAGUGUGGAGAAAGUGAAGGGGUUCAUAGAUGAGAUGGAGCGACGGGGUGCUAAGCCGAAUUUGAUCACUUAUACGUCACUUGUUGGUGGUUACUGCAAGAGGAAUAGGCUAGAGGAUGCCUUUUCCAUAGUGAGGAAACUUGAACAAACAGGUGUAGUGGUGGAUGAGUAUGUAUAUUCAAUUUUAAUCGACAGUUUGUGCAAAAAGGGGGAUUUGGAUAAGGCUGUCUCUUUGCUUGGAGAGAUGGAGAGCAAGGGGGUAAAAGCUGGGACAGUGACAUACAAUGCAGUAAUAAAUGGUUUGUGUAAGGCUGGUGAAACUACCAAGGCCGCGGAAAUGUUUGAAGGUGUUACUGCUGAUAAUUUCACAUAUAGCACUCUGUUACACGGUUACAUUAAGGAAGAGGAUACGACCGGUGUUAUGGCGAUAAAGGCUAGGCUCGAGAGUAGUGGGAUUGCACUUGACGUUGUCACAUGCAAUGUACUUAUCAAAGCAUUAUUUGUGAUCAAGAAGGUGGAUGAUGCCUGCAGCUUGUUUCAUAGAAUGCGUGAUAUGGGCUUAAGCCCUAAUACCGUCACCUAUCAUACACUCAUAGACAUGAUGUGUAAACUUGGGGAUUUUGAUAGGGCAGUUGAGUUGUUUGAUGAGUACAAGAAAGAUACAUCAUUCUCCAGUACUGUUGUUCACAAUGGCCUGAUUGGAGCACUAUGUAAUGGAGGAAAGGUCACCAUUGCUGAUCAAGUCUUCUAUGAUCUCAUUCAUAAAAAACUAAGGCCUGAUUCCUGUACUUACAGGAAGUUGAUUCAUGCAAAUUUCAAAGAAGGUGGUGAAGAAGGUGUGCUAAAUUUCAUUCGUAAGAUGGAUGAACUAGAAAUGGACUUGUUUUCAUCUGUUUGCAAUUAUGCUUCUGAUUUCUUAAGCAGCAGGGAUUGUUGCCAGGCAGCAUUAUAUGUUUACAAGAUACUCAGAACACAAGCCUUUGCUGUAUCAAGCAAAACAUUCUACAGGCUACUCAAGAGCUUACUCCGCAAUGGAAAUGAACAGGUCGUAGAACCAUUGUUAAGUGAGUUCAUUAAGAUCCAUGGCCUGCAUGAACCUAGAAUGAUUAAUAUGCUGUCUUGCCACCUCAGCAAGAAGGGUGUUGGUGAAGCUAUUCGGUUUUCAAGUAACAUGAACAGUGGCAGCAUUCCUAUCAGUGUUCUAAGAGGAGCUGUCUUUGCACUAAAGAAAGAAGGUGAAAUUAUGGAUGCAUAUAAUUUUCUCAAGGAAGCUGAACAAAGUGGGUUUUCUGUGGAUCUUGCCAUGUACUCUAUAGUAGUGGAGGGCCUUUGCAAAGGUGGUUAUCUUGUGAAGGCAUUAGACUUGUGUGAAAGCAUGAAAAGAGAAGGGAUUCAUCCAACCAUUAUCAUCCAUAACUCUGUUCUCAGUGGUUUGUGCCAGCACGGAUGCUUUACUGAAGCAUUCAGGCUCUUUGAUUACUUAGAAAGAAGCGACAUUCUUCCAACAAUGAUAACUUACAGUAUACUUAUAGGUGCUUUGUGCAGAGAAGGUUUCUUAGAUGAUGCAUAUGAAUUGUUUCAGAAAAUGUCCAACAAAGGUAUCAGACCCACUACCCGUGUUUACAACAUGUUAAUAAGUGGUUACUGUAACUAUGGUUUAGCUGAAAAAGCGCUUGAGCUUAUGUCUCGUUUUGAGAAGCUUUGUCUACAUCCGGAUGCUUUUACACUCGGCGCAGUUAUUUGUGGGCAUUGUUUGAAAGGUGACACUGAAGCUGCAUUAGGCUUCUUUAAUGAAUACCAUUGUAAGGAGAUGGCCCCAGAUUUUGUUGGAUUUAUGAGCCUGGUCAAAGGGCUCUAUGCAAAAGGAAGGAUGGAAGAGUCCAGGGGCAUCUUGAGGGAGAUGUUUCAGUCCAAACAAGUUGUUGAGCUAAUAAACAGCGUAGGAUAUGAGGUUGAAACAGAAUCUCUUGUUGCUCUUCUGUCUUCUGCAUGCGAGGAAGGGAAGAUCGAUGAGGUUGUGACUAUCCUAAGUGAAGUGAGACUCAUGUCUGUAUCCUCUUCAGAUUCGAAUAGUUCUAAUACACUUGGUCAGCUCAAGAAGCUGCAGAGAACUGAUGAUGCUUGUGAUCCUAGAACAGAUUCAGAACAAGUUGCCGAUUUUGAUGUUUCUAGCAAUUGCCUCCACGGAAGUUCCCAAAGCACACUGCAGCCCAUGACAGAGAGAACUGAUACUUUAUGCACAGGAAGUGAUAAUACUGAUAUUGACAAUGGCAAUUUGCUAGGGAAGUCUUUCUAUGACGACUUUGAUACAUAUUAUCCUGCUAUUGCUUCCCUUUGCUCGAAAGGGGAGCUGGUUAAGGCCAAUAAGGCAAUUGAAGCAAUGAUUCGGAAUUCUGGUUAA
This 3258-nucleotide ribosomal RNA is filed under the name Triticum aestivum (bread wheat). RNAcentral describes it as "partial small subunit ribosomal RNA". The record is from RNAcentral. Lineage: Eukaryota; Viridiplantae; Streptophyta; Magnoliopsida; Poales; Poaceae.